UGUUCCGAUCGCGACGACGUUGGCGGUUGUCUGCCGACGACGUUGCGAGAAGUUCAUUGAACCUUAUCAUUUAGAGGAAGGAGAAGUCGUAACAAGGUUACCGUAGGUGAACCUGCGGUAGGAUCAUU
RNAcentral lists this ribosomal RNA (128 nucleotides) under Nageia fleuryi. Its description in RNAcentral is "partial 18S ribosomal RNA". It matches the Rfam family "Eukaryotic small subunit ribosomal RNA", at positions 1707 to 1830 of the family's 1831-position model. The record is from RNAcentral. Lineage: Eukaryota; Viridiplantae; Streptophyta; Pinopsida; Araucariales; Podocarpaceae.